This 260-nucleotide ribosomal RNA is filed under the name uncultured bacterium. RNAcentral describes it as "partial 16S ribosomal RNA". It matches the Rfam family "Bacterial small subunit ribosomal RNA", at positions 524 to 777 of the family's 1533-position model. The record is from RNAcentral.
UACAGAGGUCUCAAGCGUUGUUCGGAUUCAUUGGGCGUAAAGGGUGCGUAGGUGGCGCUGUAAGUCGGGUGUGAAAUUUCGGAGCUUAACUCCGAAACUGCAUUCGAUACUGCGGUGCUUGAGGACUGGAGAGGAGACUGGAAUUCAUGGUGUAGCAGUGAAAUGCGUAGAGAUCAUGAGGAAGACCAGUGGCGAAGGCGGGGUCUCUGGACAGUUCCCCGACACUGAGGCACGAAGGCCCGGGGGGAGCAAAAACGGGG